RNAcentral lists this ribosomal RNA (502 nucleotides) under uncultured bacterium. RNAcentral's name for it is "bacterial SSU rRNA". It matches the Rfam family "Bacterial small subunit ribosomal RNA", at positions 29 to 502 of the family's 1533-position model. The record is from RNAcentral.
AGUGAACGCUGGCGGCAGGCCUAACACAUGCAAGUCGAGCGGCAGCGCGUCCGACCACCCUCGGGUGGUCGGAUGGCGGCGAGCGGCGGACGGGUGAGGAAUGCAUCGGAAUCUGCCUCGUUGUGGGGGAUAACGUAGGGAAACUUACGCUAAUACCGCAUACGACCUACGGGUGAAAGUGGGGGACCUUCGGGCCUCACGCGAUGAGAUGAGCCGAUGCCGGAUUAGCUAGUUGGCGGGGUAAAGGCCCCACCAAGGCGACGAUCCGUAGCUGGUCUGAGAGGAUGAUCAGCCACACUGGAACUGAGACACGGUCCAGACUCCUACGGGAGGCAGCAGUGAGGAAUAUUGCGCAAGUGGGGCAACCCUGACGCAGCAACGCCGCGUGAGUGAGGUAAGGUUUUCGGACCGUAAGCUCUGUCGAGACGGGAAGAAUGUAUCAUGGCUAAGUAUCCAUGAUUACGUUGACGGUACCGACGUAAAGGACGCACCGGUACUAACG